Molecule: ribosomal RNA, 468 nt
Filed under: uncultured bacterium
Lineage: Bacteria
Description: partial 16S ribosomal RNA
Rfam family: Bacterial small subunit ribosomal RNA
Source: RNAcentral
GACGAACGCUGGCGGCAUGCCUAACACAUGCAAGUCGAACGGGAAGGCCCUGCUUUUGGGGGGUGCUCGAGUUGCGACCGGGUGAGUUGCACGUGGGUUACCUGCCCCUGACCUUGGGAUAACCUCAGGAAAGUUGGUCUAAUCGCGGAAAGGAGCUCCUGCCUCUUGGUGGGGGUGCGUUGGUUUCGGUGGUUGGGAGUGGACUCGCGGCCCAUCAGCUUGAUGGUGGGGUAGUGGCUUACCAAGGCUUUGAAGGGUAGCCGGCCUGAGCGGGUGACCGGCCACACUGGGACUGAGAUGCGGCCCAGACUCCUCCGGGAGGGAGCGGUGGGGAAUAUUGCACAAUGGGCGGAAGCAUGAUGCAGCAACGCAGCGUGCGGGAUGACGGCAUUCGGGUUGUGAACCGCUGUCGCCUGUGACGAAGCGAUAGUGACGGUACCGGGUAAAUAAGCACCGGCUAACUACGUG